Molecule: long non-coding RNA, 195 nt
Organism: Ornithodoros turicata
Lineage: Eukaryota; Metazoa; Arthropoda; Arachnida; Ixodida; Argasidae
Exons: 2
Source: RefSeq, a predicted model, not a curated record
GCAGAGGAAACCAAUGAAAAACAGUUCUUCAGGGCUGUUUCUGCAAAAGACAGUGCUAAAGGAGGCUGGAGACCUUUUGGAUGCAUCAUUACUUUUUUAGGUUAACUAUUGCAGGUACAUAACCAUAACCAAUCAAUGACAGUUUUUGUGCAUUGUAUAAGCACAGAUAUUCUGGAGAUCAUUGCUUAAAAAAUC